GGCAGUAGAGCAUAAAAAGCUCUGGAUUUGGAAUCCAGAGACCCAAGUUCAAAUCUUGAUGUAGAUG
RNAcentral lists this transfer RNA (67 nucleotides) under Monodelphis domestica (gray short-tailed opossum). It matches the Rfam family "tRNA". Rfam says of the family: Transfer RNA (tRNA) molecules are approximately 80 nucleotides in length. Lineage: Eukaryota; Metazoa; Chordata; Mammalia; Didelphimorphia; Didelphidae. The record is from Rfam by way of RNAcentral.